This is a long non-coding RNA of Bubalus bubalis (water buffalo), 938 nucleotides long. RefSeq lists it as uncharacterized. NCBI's taxonomy places the organism in Eukaryota, Metazoa, Chordata, Mammalia, Artiodactyla, Bovidae. The record is from RefSeq and is a predicted model, not a curated record. The transcript is spliced from 2 exons.
CAGGCAGAUGCUUUUACCACUGAGCCGCCAGGAAACCUGGAUCAGCAGUGGUGGAAUUUUCCAGUGGAUUCCAAGUCCCAUGAAGAGAGGCUUGGGAACCUGUACUCUUCUGGGUGCCUGGAAAAAGUGCUCACCAGUGACUAUGAAGCAAUAGAUUUGCAGUCUGAGCCCUGCUUCCUUCACCAGAUCUUGAUUGGUAUGUCUUUCAAAAGGCCAUGAGGUUCUGCUUUCAAGGAUGGUCAGUCAGAGGUGGCACUUUGCUUCCAACAGAGUCCAUGGAUCCUUAGAGAACUGUUUUUUACUGACUAAAGAAAUGGUAGGAUUCCUUGGUGGCUCAGAGAGUAAAGAAUCUGCCUGCAAUGCAGAAGACAUGGGAGACUUAGGGUUGAUCCCUAGGUUGGGAAGAUCCCCUAGAGAAUGAAAUGGUAACCCAUUCCAGCAUUCUUGCCUGGAGAACCCCACGCACAAAGGAGCCUGUCGGUCUACAGUCCAUGAGGUCACAAAGAGUCGGACAAGACUGAGUGACUAAGGACACAAAGAAAUGGCAAGUCAGCUUUCAAAAUGAGAAGAAACUCUAAGAAGAACAGUGAGGAUGCAAGGUUUCCCAAACUGUCUCCCUUCCCACCCGCUACCCGCCUCCUCCCCAAACACAUACUACACCUUUCUCCAAAACUCAAAUCCAUCUUGUGUAAGCAGACUGGGAAUGUCUAACUUCAGAGGGAGAGCUAAUCCAGACUAUCGCAUCAAUUCUCCCAGCCAUGUUCAUAGAACAGGGAUUAGGGGUCUUAAAGCACAGCAGAACUGGAGCAGAUUUGGCAAAUCAUUCAUCUGUCCAGGUAAGACCUGAUAAUGCUAUCAUCAGACACUGCCUAAUUUACAGAGUGGGUUGACUGAGUGGAAUCAGAAAUCAGUUCUCUGAAUUAAAUUUUUUUUGCUGC